This 156-nucleotide ribosomal RNA is filed under the name uncultured fungus. Its description in RNAcentral is "partial 18S ribosomal RNA". It matches the Rfam family "Eukaryotic small subunit ribosomal RNA", at positions 576 to 731 of the family's 1831-position model. Lineage: Eukaryota; Fungi. The record is from RNAcentral.
GCGGUAAUUCCAGCUCCAAUAGCGUAUAUUAAAGUUGUUGCCGUUAAAAAGCUCGUAGUUGAACCUUGGACCUGGCUGAUCUGUCCUCCUAAUCGAGCGCACGGAUUCGGUCGGGUCUUUCCUUCUGGGGAGCCUAUGCCCUUCACUGGGUGUAGU